RNAcentral lists this ribosomal RNA (431 nucleotides) under uncultured bacterium. RNAcentral describes it as "partial 16S ribosomal RNA". It matches the Rfam family "Bacterial small subunit ribosomal RNA", at positions 29 to 507 of the family's 1533-position model. The record is from RNAcentral.
AACGAACGCUGGCGGCAGGCUUAACACAUGCAAGUCGAGCGCCCCGCAAGGGGAGCGGCAGACGGGUCAGUAACGCGUGGGAACGUACCUUUUGGUUCGGAACAACUCCGGGAAACUGGAGCUAAUACCGGAUAAGCCCUAACGGGGAAAGAUUUAUCGCCGAAGGAUCGGCCCGCGUCUGAUUAGCUAGUUGGUGAGGUAACGGCUCACCAAGGCGACGAGCAGUAGCUGGUCUGAGAGGAUGAUCAGCCACACUGGGACUGAGACACGGCCCAGACUCCUACGGGAGGCAGCAGUGGGGAAUAUUGGACAAUGGGCGCAAGCCUGAUCCAGCCAUGCCGCGUGAGUGAUGAAGGCCUUAGGGUUGUAAAGCUCUUUUGUCCGGGAAGAUAAUGACUGUACCGGAAGAAUAAGCCCCGGCUAACUUCGUG